CCACGCCGUAAACGAUGAGUGCUAAGUGUUGGAGUCAUAAGACUUCAGUGCUGCAGCUAACGCAUUAAGCACUCCGCCUGGGGAGUACGGUCGCAAGACUGAAACUCAAAGGAAUUGACGGGGACCCGCACAAGCGGUGGAGUAUGUGGUUUAAUUCGAAGCAACGCGAAGAACCUUACCAAGUCUUGACAUACAGUGAAGAUAUAAGAGAUUAUAUUGUUUUUACCUAUGGUAAAACACUGAUACAGGUGGUGCAUGGUUGU
This 263-nucleotide ribosomal RNA is filed under the name uncultured bacterium. RNAcentral describes it as "partial 16S ribosomal RNA". It matches the Rfam family "Bacterial small subunit ribosomal RNA", at positions 795 to 1052 of the family's 1533-position model. The record is from RNAcentral.